Molecule: ribosomal RNA, 253 nt
Filed under: uncultured bacterium
Lineage: Bacteria
Description: partial 16S ribosomal RNA
Rfam family: Bacterial small subunit ribosomal RNA
Source: RNAcentral
UACGUAGGGGGCGAGCGUUGUCCGGAUUUAUUGGGCGUAAAGAGCGUGUAGGCGGCCAGGUAGGUCAGCUGUGAAAACUCGAGGCUCAACCUCGAGAUGUCGGCUGAAACCAUCUGGCUAGAGUCCGGAAGAGGAGAAUGGAAUUCCCGGUGUAGCGGUGAAAUGCGCAGAUAUCGGGAAGAACACCCGUGGCGAAGGCGGUUCUCUGGGACGGUACUGACGCUGAGACGCGAAAGCGUGGGGAGCGAACAGG